Long non-coding RNA from Neltuma alba, 276 nucleotides. RefSeq lists it as uncharacterized. NCBI's taxonomy places the organism in Eukaryota, Viridiplantae, Streptophyta, Magnoliopsida, Fabales, Fabaceae. The record is from RefSeq and is a predicted model, not a curated record. The transcript is spliced from 5 exons.
GAGGCCUUCUUUCGUUUUUUUCUCUCCUGCUUGUGUCUCUCCUCCUUGCUAAGGUUCAAGGGAUUCGCUGGGACAGAGAGUCUCUAACAGUUCAGAAACAAGCACAACAUGAUGAAGAAAGUACCUCGAUGGAAAAAAGCAAUGGAGAAGCUGAGGAGGUUAUUCUCUGCAAAGACGACCAAUGCACAGGAAAGAUAAAGAGUAGGAAACUUGUUACCACAUCCAUUUCAUCUUCCAACGAACUUUCAAAGAAUAAAGUGAAGAAGGAAGAGGAUG